RNAcentral lists this ribosomal RNA (253 nucleotides) under uncultured bacterium. RNAcentral describes it as "partial 16S ribosomal RNA". It matches the Rfam family "Bacterial small subunit ribosomal RNA", at positions 524 to 776 of the family's 1533-position model. The record is from RNAcentral.
UACGGAGGGUGCAAACGUUGCUCGGAAUCAUUGGGCGUAAAGCGCACGUAGGCGGCUCGUUAAGUCGGAUGUGAAAGCCCCGGGCUCAACCCGGGAAGUGCAUUCGAAACUGGCGAGCUUGAAUAUGGAAGAGGAUCGCGGAAUUCCCGGUGUAGAGGUGAAAUUCGUAGAUAUCGGGAGGAACACCAGUGGCGAAGGCGGCGAUCUGGGCCAAUAUUGACGCUGAGGUGCGAAAGCGUGGGGAGCAAACAGG